UUUAGACACCAGAUUUGAGAGAGAGUAAGAUGAUUUCUGCUGCCAAACCUUGAGAGGUAAGUCUUGAUUCGAAUUUCCUCCAUUCCUCUUUAGUACCUCCUGAAAUUGUCAAGAAACAAUAUUUGCUGUUUCAGCUUUCAUCUCAUUGAAUCCAAUCAACAACAUCAGCUACCAACACAAAACAAUUGCAAGGUUAAGCGCAAGAGUAAGAACUAGUCAAGGGGUUACUGAACUGUAGCAAAGCUUUGCUAUCAGGUUGAGCAAUGGCUGAUGAAGAUGAAGUGAUGAGCGGAGCUUUUGUCAUGAGUUUAAAAUGGACUCUUGGAUACAUGUCUUCAUACAUGUAAUCAGAUUAUGUUAUUCCGCUACAUACUCUCAAGUAAUAUGUCUUUAAGCUAAGUCGGGUUCAUCCGAACUCACGAGUUAAUCGAGUCCUUGUGACUAAACAACAGUUAUCUUAUGAUUGUCCCUCCUUAACAAUGAUUUGAUUUCGAGCCUUCAUUAUUUAUUCACCCCCUUUCUAUCCC
Salvia miltiorrhiza (redroot sage) is the source of this 527-nucleotide long non-coding RNA. RefSeq lists it as uncharacterized. The record is from RefSeq and is a predicted model, not a curated record. The transcript is spliced from 3 exons. Lineage: Eukaryota; Viridiplantae; Streptophyta; Magnoliopsida; Lamiales; Lamiaceae.